ACAACAAAAGGAGGAACGUGUUGUGUUGUGAACAGCGUAUGACUUGUUUCAUUUGAUAGCAGAAGAAAAGUUCCUCGACACCGCCCAUGGAAAACAUUCCUGAAAUUGGAGAUUGCCGCCGGUGGUGAUGUUCAAUGAUAGGGAGAGACGGAAAGGCAUGGAGCUCCCUGCGCAUUUGAGCCGAAACGACUGGGGUCUUCUCUCAAGCGGUGAAUUCACCGGGCCCCAAUAAAUGGCUUGUUACAUUUGCCCUUCCUAACUUGUCGUCUUUGAGUGAAGAUUUUUUUCUAUCAGUAUUUGGAUGAUGGAAUUUGAGUACACUGUUCUUAGGAAAGAGGCAGACAUGCAUAAUAGAUGUUGUGGAGGCCUUGUUUGGUGCAUCAAGGAUAUAUGUGGGAUUAUGUGUGCUGCCCUAACAUGGCUACUAAUCUUGUAUGCCGAGUUUGUGGUCAUGGUCGUCAUGUUAAUCCCCAGUCCUUAUCCAGUGUAUAGCACAAUUAAUGGCGUUGUUUUUCAAUCACUUGCAUUUCUUGCAUUUGCAUCACAUCUUCGCACAAUGUUUACAGAUCCAGGCGCUGUUCCCAAAGGAAAUGCUACAAAAGAGAUGAUACAGCAAAUGGGUUUCAGAGAGGGUCAAAUGUUUUUCAAAUGCCACAAGUGCUGCAGUAUCAAACCUGAGAGAGCUCACCAUUGUUCUGUAUGCCAGAGGUGCAUUCGUAAAAUGGACCAUCACUGCCCCUGGGUCAAUAAUUGUGUUGGUGAAAAUAACCAGAAGUAUUUUGUCCUCUUCACUUUUUACAUUGCUUCAAUUUCAAUCCAUGCUCUCUUCCUGUCGGUGAAUCAAACUAUCACCUGUGUUAAACAUGAGUGGAAGGAUUGUUCUGUUUACUCUCCACCAGCAACUGUAGUUCUCUUGCUCUUCCUUGUAUUUGAGGCCCUACUCUUUGCAAUCUUUACCGUCAUAAUGUUGGCGGCCCAAAUGCAGGCUAUUUGGAAUGAUGAAACGGGCAUUGAACAACUGAAAAAGGAAGAAGCACGGUGGGUGAAAAAAUCCCGUUGGAAGAGUAUUCAAGCUGUUUUCGGACGGUUUUCAAUUUCAUGGUUCUCCCCAUUCACUACUCCUCUUCCUCGAAUGAAGCAUGAAGGGUUUCUUUACUCCGUGUAACACCAUUGAUCUUACUUCCAAGACAAAUUAAAGUCAUGAUCAUUUUCCCUCCUGCCUAUUAGGAGAGUCAUUUACGCACAAAAUACAGCUAUCUGUAAACUCCUUGUCUCUUUCAUAAAACACCCCAGAACAAACUCAUAACUUUUACUAUUGUCUUUCAGAUGCCAUGACUGAAUCAUCUUUUUCUUUUUUAAAGUGUGACUGACUUGUUAUGUCAUUUUCUUGUACGCAAUAUGUUCAACCCUUUUGUUUAAUAUUUUCCUUUUGGAGCAUUUUUCAUUAAGGAAAUUUAUGAUGCCAGGUAAAAUAAACUGGGUAAGAUUAUUACUCAUGUUUUGUUGGCCUUGGAUAUUUUACUUAAAAAAGUUGACACUGUCCAUUUUAAGCAGUAUGUUGCUGUUAGAUUACCUGAAUUUAAUUUUAUCAAAUGUUAUAACUUGAAUGGGUGGUAUGAGUAUAGUACUGUGCAGGAGCAGUAUUACUGUACUUCAAGGUUUAGUAGAUCAUGCCAUUUUAUAAAUAUUGAAAGGUCUUUUUCUUUUCUAAUAUACUGUUUGUGUUCUUGUUUAUUCUGUGAAGAACAGGAAUAGGUGAUGGAGUUUUAAUAAAAUUUCUCUUCCCAAAUCAUGAGGUAUUCAUUAAGUAUUUGAGUGUUAAGUUUAAAUAUUUUGUCUAAGGAUAAUUGUAUUCCUUUGUCAAUAAUUGUUAGAUAUUUUAAGUUAAUUUUAUUAUGAGAAUGUGUGCAUCAAAUGACUGUAAAUCUAAGGAAUAUAUCUAGUCCAUGUGUGCUGAAUGUACUUGUGUGCACAUUUGUGCACAGUGCAGUGUUGCAUUUGCAGAAUGCAAAAUAUGAAACCUUUUUUGAAACACAAAUUAACUGUUGAUAGUACCUCUACAGUGCUGCAUACAAAGCUAAGACUUGUGAAACGUACCUUGAUUAUGGACAUUUUUGUACAGUCACAUAGUGAUUCUCCUGAUGACUUUUUAGUUUAAAUCUUGCUUUGGUGGUGGCAAUAGUGUGCGUCUGCACUUGGUUAUUUGCGACAUACAGUUGUAGUUCAUGCGAUGCAUAAUAAUUUUUAUUUACUAAGUAUUUAAUGUGAGAAAAGGUCAGUAUUUAUUAGGCUGCACGCCUCCCAAAUGCCAUCAAGGCUCUUCAUGUAGUCUGUUGUGUAUCUUGCUUUGCCAAGUUUAAGGUGACAAGUUGUAAGUAAUGUAACAUUAUGUUCAACAGUCACUUCAUGAGGGUUUUCUAUUCUUUUCAAAAUUAUGAAUGAAAUUUGUUUGAACCAUAAUUUUGUUUGCUGUUUUCUUCUGUAACUGUCAAUUCAUGUGUAUUGUCUGAAAAUCUAUGUGCUUUUCUAGGAUCACCUGCUGUUAAGGAAGAUUUUAUCAGUGGCACUUAUAGAAAUUGAUGAUUGUUACCCCUGUAGCUUUCUCUCUUAUGAAACAGUUGUUCCAGCAUUCAAUGUUUGUGGCUGUUACAUUCCUAAGAAAUGUACCUGAAUCCUUGUCUGCCCACAUUUCCUGCUUGAAUUAGAUUUAUUAAAUUUAAAUGAAAAUAAAAUUAUAGAAACCUU
Molecule: unclassified non-coding RNA, 2745 nt
Filed under: Thrips palmi
Lineage: Eukaryota; Metazoa; Arthropoda; Insecta; Thysanoptera; Thripidae
Description: palmitoyltransferase ZDHHC3, transcript variant X1
Source: RNAcentral